Ribosomal RNA from Fukomys damarensis (Damara mole-rat), 104 nucleotides. NCBI's taxonomy places the organism in Eukaryota, Metazoa, Chordata, Mammalia, Rodentia, Bathyergidae. The record is from Ensembl.
UUCUAUGGCCAUACCACCCUGAACGCGUCCGAUCUCAUCUGAUCUUGGAAGCUAAGCAGGUUGGGCUUGGUUAGUACUUGGAAGGAAGAAAUAAUGCUGAUAAC